This 591-nucleotide ribosomal RNA is filed under the name uncultured bacterium. RNAcentral's name for it is "bacterial SSU rRNA". It matches the Rfam family "Bacterial small subunit ribosomal RNA", at positions 335 to 916 of the family's 1533-position model. The record is from RNAcentral.
ACUCCUACGGGAGGCAGCAGUGAGGAAUUUUGCGCAAUGGGCGAAACCCUGACGCAGCGACGCCGCGUGAGUGAUGAAGGCCUUCGGGUCGUAAAGCUCUGUCAAGUGGGAAGAAGUGGCUAUAGGUUAAUAGCAUUAAUUCUUGACGGUACCUCCAGAGGAAGCACCGGCUAACUCCGUGCCAGCAGCCCCGGUAAUACGGGGGGUGCAAGCGUUGUUCGGAAUUACUGGGCGUAAAGCGCGUGUAGGCGGUUCUUUAAGUCAGAUGUGAAAGCCCGGGGCUCAACCCCGGAAGUGCAUUGGAAACUGCCAGACUUGAGUACGGGAGAGGAAAGUGGAAUUCCUGGUGUAGAGGUGAAAUUCGUAAAUAUCAGGAGGAACACCGGUGGCGAAGGCGGCUCUCUGGACCGAUACUGACGCUGAGGUGCGAAGGCGUGGGGAGCAAACAGGAUUAGAUACCCUGGUAGUCCACGCCGUAAACGAUGUUAACUAGGUGUUGCGGGUAUUAACCCCUGCUGUGCCGCAGCUAACGCAUUAAGCGCUCCGCCUGGGGAGUACGGUCGCAAGGUUAAAACUCAAAGGAAUUGACGG